Molecule: ribosomal RNA, 444 nt
Filed under: uncultured bacterium
Lineage: Bacteria
Description: partial 16S ribosomal RNA
Rfam family: Bacterial small subunit ribosomal RNA
Source: RNAcentral
GUGAGGAAUAUUGGUCAAUGGGCGAGAGCCUGAACCAGCCAAGUCGCGUGAAGGAAGAAGGAUCUAUGGUUCGUAAACUUCUUUUGCAGGGGAAUAAAGUGCGGGACGUGUCCUGUUUUGUAUGUACCCUGAGAAUAAGGAUCGGCUAACUCCGUGCCAGCAGCCGCGGUAAUACGGAGGAUCCGAGCGUUAUCCGGAUUUAUUGGGUUUAAAGGGUGCGUAGGUGGUUUGAUAAGUCAGCGGUGAAAGUUUGCAGCUUAACUGUAAAAAUGCCGUUGAAACUGUCGGACUUGAGUGUAAAUGAGGUAGGCGGAAUGCGUGGUGUAGCGGUGAAAUGCAUAGAUAUCACGCAGAACUCCGAUUGCGAAGGCAGCUUACUAAGCUACAACUGACACUGAAGCACGAAAGCGUGGGGAUCAAACAGGAUUAGAAACCCGGGUAGUC